AUAUAUAUAUUUUUUUUUUGGUACCAGGGAUCAAACUCAGGACCUUGUGUUUGCGAGAAGGGUGGUGGAACCACUGAGCUAAAUCCCCAGCCCUAUUUUUGUGUUUUUGAGACAGGGCUUCACUAGGUAAUUCAAGCUGGGCUUGAAUUCACUAUGUAGCCCAACCUGGCCUCGAACUCAUGGCGAUCCUUAUGCUUCAGCCUCCCCAAUCCUGGGAUUACAGAUGUGCACCACAACACCCAUCUGGCUGUACUUAUAAUACAGCUCCAGGAUGCAGUGAGGACCAAGCGAUGCCACUGUGGGUGGCAGUGACCCUCCUAGGGACAGCGACAAGCCUCAAGAGCCAGAGGGGAAAUAGAUGAGACUGAACAGUUAGCAAGAGGGGAGGACACGGCAGCCCACAGCUGCUGCCAGCCCAGCGUUAGAAAGUGCAAAGACAAAGGCCUGCAGUGCCCUGCUAUCCUCGCUUCCGGGGGGCCCUGGUGUUCCCCAGCUUUGAAGCUCCUCCCAGAAGCAGUAGAUGCUGCUCCAUAGAGCUGUCUUUCUAAAAAUUCCCCUUUAUAUAUGCC
Long non-coding RNA from Heterocephalus glaber (naked mole-rat), 569 nucleotides. Lineage: Eukaryota; Metazoa; Chordata; Mammalia; Rodentia; Bathyergidae. The record is from Ensembl.